This 409-nucleotide ribosomal RNA is filed under the name uncultured soil bacterium. RNAcentral describes it as "bacterial SSU rRNA". It matches the Rfam family "Bacterial small subunit ribosomal RNA", at positions 26 to 451 of the family's 1533-position model. The record is from RNAcentral.
AGAACGAACGCUGGCGGCAUGCCUAAUACAUGCAAGUCGAACGAAGGCUUCGGCCUUAGUGGCGCACGGGUGCGUAACGCGUGGGAAUCUGCCCCUUGGUUCGGAAUAACAGUUGGAAACGACUGCUAAUACCGGAUGAUGACGAAAGUCCAAAGAUUUAUCGCCAAGGGAUGAGCCCGCGUAGGAUUAGCUAGUUGGUGAGGUAAAGGCUCACCAAGGCGACGAUCCUUAGCUGGUCUGAGAGGAUGAUCAGCCACACUGGGACUGAGACACGGCCCAGACUCCGUACGGGAGGCAGCAGGUAGGGAAUAGUUGGAACAAGUGGGACGAAAGCCUAGAUCCAGCAAGUGCCGCGUGAAUGAUAGAAGGUCCGUUAGGUUAGUAAGUCGUUCCGUUUAACCGAGUAGUA